Molecule: ribosomal RNA, 465 nt
Filed under: Vreelandella stevensii
Lineage: Bacteria; Pseudomonadati; Pseudomonadota; Gammaproteobacteria; Oceanospirillales; Halomonadaceae
Description: partial 16S ribosomal RNA
Rfam family: Bacterial small subunit ribosomal RNA
Source: RNAcentral
CCUACGGGCGGCUGCAGUGGGGAAUAUUGGACAAUGGGGGCAACCCUGAUCCAGCCAUGCCGCGUGUGUGAAGAAGGCCCUCGGGUUGUAAAGCACUUUCAGUGAGGAAGAACGCCUGGUGGUUAAUACCCAUCAGGAAAGACAUCACUCACAGAAGAAGCACCGGCUAACUCCGUGCCAGCAGCCGCGGUAAUACGGAGGGUGCGAGCGUUAAUCGGAAUUACUGGGCGUAAAGCGCGCGUAGGUGGCUUGAUAAGCCGGUUGUGAAAGCCCCGGGUUCAACCUGGGAACGGCAUCCGGAACUGUCAAGCUAGAGUGCAGGAGAGGAAGGUAGAAUUCCCGGUGUAGCGGUGAAAUGCGUAGAGAUCGGGAGGAAUACCAGUGGCGAAGGCGGCCUUCUGGACUGACACUGACACUGAGGUGCGAAAGCGUGGGUAGCAAACAGGAUUAGAUACCCUUGUAGUC